GAGAGUCGAGCGGGAACAGGGGUAGCUUGCUACCCGCUGACGAGCGGCGGACGGGUGAGUAAUGCAUAGGAAUCUGCCCGGUAGUGGGGGAUAACCUGGGGAAACCCAGGCUAAUACCGCAUACGUCCUACGGGAGAAAGGGGGCUCCGGCUCCCGCUAUUGGAUGAGCCUAUGUCGGAUUAGCUAGUUGGUGAGGUAAAGGCUCACCAAGGCAACGAUCCGUAGCUGGUCUGAGAGGAUGAUCAGCCACAUCGGGACUGAGACACGGCCCGAACUCCUACGGGAGGCAGCAGUGGGGAAUAUUGGACAAUGGGGGCAACCCUGAUCCAGCCAUGCCGCGUGUGUGAAGAAGGCCCUCGGGUUGUAAAGCACUUUCAGCGAGGAAGAACGCCUAGUGGUUAAUACCCAUUAGGAAAGACAUCACUCGCAGAAGAAGCACCGGCUAACUCCGUGCCAGCAGCCGCGGUAAUACGGAGGGUGCAAGCGUUAAUCGGAAUUACUGGGCGUAAAGCGCGCGUAGGUGGCUUGAUAAGCCGGUUGUGAAAGCCCCGGGCUCAACCUGGGAACGGCAUCCGGAACUGUCAAGCUAGAGUGCAGGAGAGGAAGGUAGAAUUCCCGGUGUAGCGGUGAAAUGCGUAGAGAUCGGGAGGAAUACCAGUGGCGAAGGCGGCCUUCUGGACUGACACUGAC
This 690-nucleotide ribosomal RNA is filed under the name Vreelandella zhaodongensis. Its description in RNAcentral is "bacterial SSU rRNA". It matches the Rfam family "Bacterial small subunit ribosomal RNA", at positions 57 to 744 of the family's 1533-position model. Lineage: Bacteria; Pseudomonadati; Pseudomonadota; Gammaproteobacteria; Oceanospirillales; Halomonadaceae. The record is from RNAcentral.